AGUGAACGCUGGCGGUAGGCCUAACACAUGCAAGUCGAACGGCAGCACAGUAAGAGCUUGCUCUUACGGGUGGCGAGUGGCGGACGGGUGAGGAAUACAUCGGAAUCUACUUUUUCGUGGGGGAUAACGUAGGGAAACUUACGCUAAUACCGCAUACGACCUACGGGUGAAAGCAGGGGAUCUUCGGACCUUGCGCGAUUGAAUGAGCCGAUGUCGGAUUAGCUAGUUGGCGGGGUAAAGGCCCACCAAGGCGACGAUCCGUAGCUGGUCUGAGAGGAUGAUCAGCCACACUGGAACUGAGACACGGUCCAGACUCCUACGGGAGGCAGCAGUGGGGAAUAUUGGACAAGGGGCGCAAGCCUGAUCCAGCCAUACCGCGUGGGUGAAGAAGGCCUUCGGGUUGUAAAGCCCUUUUGUUGGGAAAGAAAAGCAGCAGGUUAAUACCCCGCUGUUCUGACGGUACCCAAAGAAUAAACACCGGCUAACUUCGU
RNAcentral lists this ribosomal RNA (491 nucleotides) under uncultured bacterium. Its description in RNAcentral is "partial 16S ribosomal RNA". It matches the Rfam family "Bacterial small subunit ribosomal RNA", at positions 29 to 506 of the family's 1533-position model. The record is from RNAcentral.